UGACGAGUUAGUGGGUGCAGUGCACCAGCAUGGCACAUGUAUACAUAUGUAACUAACCUGCACAUUGUGCACAUGUACCCUAAAACUUAAAGUAUAAUAAAAAAAAAAAAAAGAAAAGAAAAACAUACCUAACAUCCCACAGACAGUUAAAAGAAUGGAUCAGUCAUUAGUGAGAAAACAUUUUGAAUUAGAAGAAAGCUCUGAGGAAAUAUGUCAGAAUUAAUAGAGAUUAAUAAGGAGAUGCAAUAUAUGAAGAAUUUAGAAACAUCAACAAUUAAUCAUAAAGUGCCAACCUACGUGGAAUAGCAAUGUGUGAAGGGAAAAAUGUUCCUGAGAAAAAAAUUGCAUUUAUUAUCCAAAACAGGAAAGAAAUGAGUCUAUAGAUUGAAAACGCCACUUAUGCAACACAUAGCAGGAGAAAAAAUAACACCUAAACAUAUAGCAUGACUGCAAAAUACCAUAGCUAAAGAAAAAUCUUCUAAAACUAACAGGGAACAGGCAAAUAACUUGUGAGGAGACAAUUAUAUCAACAACAUUGUCAAAAGAAGCAAAACACAACAGAAGAAAAUGGAAUAAAGCAGCUGAAAGAUUCAGGAGCUGGGCCUUGCUGGUGAGAACUACACAAAUUUGACACAGAAAAUAAGGAUAUAUGAACAACCAUUCACUGGUCCCAUCACCGACUGAAGCCACCUGUUUUUGUUUAUGGAUGAGCCCACACAGACUGUGUAAAUGUAGCUGGGGGGAAGACACCAUAAUCAGAUGCAGUAGGUAGAAACAAAUAGGCUUGAAAAGUGUGAAUUUAUUUAAAAUGACAGCUCAAGAAGUUAUACUUUUUAGAAAAGUGCAUAUUUUAAAAAAUAAUUCCAAGACAAGCCAAUUACCAUAUGUUGUGAGAUUUAUAAUUCAUCAUAAAAUGAAAUGUGUUAAAAACUUUCAAUUAUUUUCUUUUACUGGUAAUGCUUUUGAGUGUUUCCUUUUGGAUUCUAUCAAUUAAUUGUUGGCUUUUAAAAAAUUUUAUGAAGCAAGAUAACUUACAGUAUUCAAAAGACACAGACAACAUGAAAUGGAGAAAUUAAACAUCACAUAUACAAACAUUUCAGGUUCUUUUGCUGACAUUUAAUGCUUUUUAAGUAAAGAGGUUGUUUUAAAAACUCUGUAUCAUGGAAUAUUAUACAGCCCUAAAAAUGAAAUCAUUUCCUUUGUAGUAACAUGGAUGCAGCUGUAAGCCAUUAUCUUAAGGGAAUUAAUGCAGGAACAGAAAGCCAUAUACUACAGGUUCUUGCUUAUAAGUGAACAUAAGAAGCUAAACAAUGGGUUCUCACAGACAUAAAAGAUGGCAACAAUAGACACUGAGGACUAAUAGGGGGACAGGGGGAAGGAUUGAAAAUGUCCUGGGUACUAUGCUCACUACUUGGGUGACAGGAUCAAUUGUACACCAAACCUCAGCACUUUAAAAUAUAUCCACUUAACAAACCUGC
RNAcentral lists this long non-coding RNA (1478 nucleotides) under Homo sapiens (human). RNAcentral's name for it is "HSALNT0085539". The record is from RNAcentral. Lineage: Eukaryota; Metazoa; Chordata; Mammalia; Primates; Hominidae.